AUGGGCUGAAGUGACGCUGGAUGAGUGGCCAGUCUGGUCGGUAGGGUGGCCGGUGUGCUCUCAGGCUUGACUGCCAAUAGACCUCUGAUGAUGACACGAGCUCACGCCGUCUGCUUUGUGAACGUGUACAGGAUGCGGAAGACUGGCUACAUGCAGCAGGCCAGUCCCCACCACCCCGUGAGGGGCCGGGAUCAGUAGUCCUUACCUUACUAAUGUGUGGAAAUGGACGGUCUUAACUCUUCACUGUCCCACUGAGUGCAAUGCUAUUUCUGCCUGGAUCUCCUGCCGCACUGACCAGCUCUGGCUACACGUGUACUCCGGUGCCCCUCCCCUCCCCCCUUUGCCCGUGCCAGCCGUCCGUCAGCCCCCCUGGUCAGCCCGGAGCGAGCAGAGUGUCGGUGGAGGUAUUGGAUUGACAGAUUCAUAACAUGCUUUGGGAAUAGAUGCGAUGGGACGGGGUAAGUGGCAGGAUUGCGUAGUCCCGUGGUGUGCACAGCGUAUGCUCUGUUGCCAGAAUGUUUAGGGCUGGGUAGCGGUACAAGUGAGGCGGGCAAGGCCCAUUCCCUUACGGCUCUAGGCAGAAAGAAGCAAUGGGCUGAAGUGACGCUGGAUGAGUGGCCAGUCUGGUCGGUAGGGUGGCCGGUGUGCUCUCAGGCUUGACUGCCAAUAGACCUCUGAUGAUGACACGAGCUCACGCCGUCUGCUUUGUGAACGUGUACAGGAUGCGGAAGACUGGCUACAUGCAGCAGGCCAGUCCCCACCACCCCGUGAGGGGCCGGGAUCAGUAGUCCUUACCUUACUAAUGUGUGGAAAUGGACGGUCUUAACUCUUCACUGUCCCACUGAGUGCAAUGCUAUUUCUGCCUGGAUCUCCUGCCGCACUGACCAGCUCUGGCUACACGUGUACUCCGGUGCCCCUCCCCUCCCCCCUUUGCCCGUGCCAGCCGUCCGUCAGCCCCCCUGGUCAGCCCGGAGCGAGC
This 979-nucleotide long non-coding RNA is filed under the name Chlamydomonas reinhardtii. RNAcentral's name for it is "long non-coding RNA (CREI_LNC000730)". The record is from RNAcentral. Lineage: Eukaryota; Viridiplantae; Chlorophyta; Chlorophyceae; Chlamydomonadales; Chlamydomonadaceae.